This 267-nucleotide long non-coding RNA is filed under the name Mytilus galloprovincialis (Mediterranean mussel). Lineage: Eukaryota; Metazoa; Mollusca; Bivalvia; Mytilida; Mytilidae. The record is from RNAcentral.
AAACCAAGAGUUCCAAAUGGUGAAGUUGAAAUCAUCCCUUCGUAAAUUUUACGGACGCCAUCACGAGUUGGUUGACCGUUAUGGAAUAACCGUUUCACAAAUGAUAUCGGAUAUGUUCCUUACGUCGUAAUUACAAUCCCCUUCCCUUUCAUGAAUGUGACCUACCGAAUUAGACUAUUUACCGGAUUUGUUAUCACAUAAGCAACACGACGGGUGCCGCAUGUGGAGCAGGAUCUGCUUACCCUUCCGGAGCACCUGAGAUCACCC